This 586-nucleotide ribosomal RNA is filed under the name uncultured Geobacter sp. RNAcentral's name for it is "bacterial SSU rRNA". It matches the Rfam family "Bacterial small subunit ribosomal RNA", at positions 578 to 1163 of the family's 1533-position model. The record is from RNAcentral. Lineage: Bacteria; Pseudomonadati; Thermodesulfobacteriota; Desulfuromonadia; Geobacterales; Geobacteraceae.
GCUCAUCAGGUCUGGUGUGAAAAUGCAGGGCCUAACUCUGCAAAUGCGCUGGAAACUGGUGGGCUUGAGUUCUUGAGGGGAAGCUGGAAUUCCAGGUGUAGGGGUGAAAUCUGUAGAUAUCUGGAAGAACACCGGUGGCGAAGGCGAGCUUCUAUCAGAGGACUGACGCUGAGGCGCGAAAGCGUGGGGAGCAAACAGGAUUAUAUACCCUGGUAGUCCACGCUGUAAACGAUGUGCACUAGGCGUGGGGCCCGUACGGGUUCUGUGCCGUAGUUAACGUGUUAAGUGCACCGCCUGGGGAGUAUGCUCGCAAGGGUGAAACUCAAAGGAAUUGACGGGGGCCCGCACAAGCGGUGGAGCAUGUGGUUUAAUUCGAUGGUACACGAGGAACUUUACCAGGGCUUGACAUGUGCGUGAAUGUUCACGAGAGUGGGCAGCCCCGCAAGGGGCGCGCACACAGGUGCUGCAUGGCUGUCGUCAGCUCGUGUCGUGAGAUGUUGGGUUAAGUCCCGCAACGAGCGCAACCCUUACUGCCAGUUGCCAACAGGUUGUGCUGGGCACUCUGGCGGAACUGCCGGUGACAAAC